Molecule: ribosomal RNA, 669 nt
Filed under: Hynobius leechii (Gensan salamander)
Lineage: Eukaryota; Metazoa; Chordata; Amphibia; Caudata; Hynobiidae
Description: partial 16S ribosomal RNA
Rfam family: Bacterial large subunit ribosomal RNA
Source: RNAcentral
AUAGGAAGGAACUCGGCAAACAUGCACUUCGCCUGUUUUUUAAAAACAUCGCCUCUUGCAAUUAAGGUAUUAGAGGUCCUGCCUGCCCAGGGACAUUAAGUUUAACGGCCGCGGUAUUAUGACCGUGCAAAGGUAGCGUAAUCACUUGUCGUCUUUUAAAUAAAGACCAGUAUGAAUGGCAAGACGAAAGUUCAACUGUCUCCCUAAAUAAUAAUCAGUGAAAUUGAUUUCUCCGUGCAGAAGCGGAGAUAAAAUUAUAAGACGAGAAGACCCUCCUAUGGAGCUUUAAACAUAUAAUCAAUUGUAUUCCAUAAAAUCCGAAAGAUAAAAUAUAAAAUAAUAAAACAAUAUGAUUAAAAUUUUAGGUUGGGGCGACCACGGAGAAAAACAAAACCUCCGAGAUGAAAAGAAUAUCUUAAUUUAAGAACCACAAUUCCAAAAAAUAAAAUAUUUAACAUAAUAAUUGAUCCAAUAUUUUGAUCAACGAACCAAGUUACCCUAGGGAUAACAGCGCAAUCCUCUCCUCCAAGAGUCCCUAUCGACGAGUGGGUUUACGACCUCGAUGUUGGAUCAGGACACCCCGAUGGUGCAGCCGCUAUUAAAGGGUCGUUUGUUCAACGAUUAAAGUCCUACGUGAUCUGGUUCAGCCCGAGAAACCAGGACAGUUUU